This 690-nucleotide small RNA is filed under the name Pongo abelii (Sumatran orangutan). RNAcentral describes it as "retained intron". The record is from RNAcentral. Lineage: Eukaryota; Metazoa; Chordata; Mammalia; Primates; Hominidae.
CUGUAGUCCCAGCUACUUGGGAGGUUGAGGCAGAAGAAUUGCUUGAACCCAGGAGGCAGAGGUUGUAGUGAGCCAAGAUCGCACCACUGCACUGCAGCCUGGGUGACAGAGCGAGACUUUGUCUCCAAAAAGAAAAUCUGCCAGGUACGGUGGUGUACUCCUGUAGUCCCAGCUACUCAGGAGGCUGAGGCAGGAGGAUUGCUUGAGCUCCGGAGUUGGAGGCUGCAAUAAGCUAUAAUUGUGCCACUGCCCUCCAGUCUGGGUGACAGAGCAAGACCCUAUCUCUAAAAAAAACCCUCAAAACUAUGCAGUGGCGUAUGUCACCUUCAUCCCCUGGGAGAAUCAGCGCCCUGCCCAGGUCUUUGCCCUUGGAUGGGACAGAAGCUCACGUGUUCCCAAUCCUCUUCCUCCCUUCCCUGCCGGCUGACCCCAGCGCUGGAGAGCAAGUGUAAGUCGGGCGAGAAGAAGAUGGACGCCCUCCUGAAGGAGAAGCGGCGCCUGGAGGCCGAGCUGGAGACCGUGUCCCGGAAGACCCACGAUGCCUCGGGCCAGCUAGUCCUCAUCAGCCAGGAGUUGCUGCGGAAGGAGCGGAGCUUGAACGAACUGCGGGUGUUGCUGCUGGAGGCCAAUCGUCACUCCCCAGGGCCAGAGAGGGACCUGAGCCGCGAGGUACACAAAGCUGAGUGGCGG